Molecule: ribosomal RNA, 360 nt
Filed under: uncultured soil bacterium
Lineage: Bacteria
Description: bacterial SSU rRNA
Rfam family: Bacterial small subunit ribosomal RNA
Source: RNAcentral
AGAUUGAACGCUGGCGGCAGGCCUAACACAUGCAAGUCGAGCGGCAGCACGGGUACUUGUACCUGGUGGCGAGCGGCGGACGGGUGAGUAAUGCCUAGGAAUCUGCCUGAUAGUGGGGGAUAACGUUCGGAAACGGACGCUAAUACCGCAUACGUCCUACGGGAGAAAGUGGGGGAUCUUCGGACCUCACGCUAUCAGAUGAGCCUAGGUCGGAUUAGCUAGUUGGUAGGUAAAGGCCUACCAAGGCUACGAUCCGUAACUGGUCUGAGAGGAUGAUCAGUCACACUGGAACUGAGACACGGUCCAGACUCCGUACGGGAGCAGCAGUGGGGGAAUAGUUGGACAAGUGGGACGAAAGCC